This 449-nucleotide ribosomal RNA is filed under the name uncultured bacterium. RNAcentral's name for it is "partial 16S ribosomal RNA". It matches the Rfam family "Bacterial small subunit ribosomal RNA", at positions 29 to 523 of the family's 1533-position model. The record is from RNAcentral.
AACGAACGCUGGCGGCAUGCCUAACACAUGCAAGUCGAACGAGAUCUUCGGGUCUAGUGGCGCACGGGUGCGUAACGCGUGGGAAUCUGCCCUUGGGUUCGGAAUAACAGUUAGAAAUGACUGCUAAUACCGGAUGAUGUCUUCGGACCAAAGAUUUAUCGCCCCAGGAUGAGCCCGCGUAGGAUUAGGUAGUUGGUGGGGUAAUGGCCCACCAAGCCGACGAUCCUUAGCUGGUCUGAGAGGAUGAUCAGCCACACUGGGACUGAGACACGGCCCAGACUCCUACGGGAGGCAGCAGUGGGGAAUAUUGGACAAUGGGCGAAAGCCUGAUCCAGCAAUGCCGCGUGAGUGAUGAAGGCCUUAGGGUUGUAAAGCUCUUUUACCAGGGAUGAUAAUGACAGUACCUGGAGAAUAAGCUCCGGCUAACUCCGUGCCAGCCGCCGCGGUAA